GAUGAACGCUGGCGGCGUGCCUAACACAUGCAAGUCGAACGAAGCUUGACGGAUGAUUUCUUCGGAAUAAAACCAGAUAUGACUUAGUGGCGGACGGGUGAGUAACACGUGAGCAACCUGCCUUUCAGAGGGGGAUAACGGCUGGAAACGGUCGCUAAUACCGCACGAUGUGUUCGGAUGGCAUCAUCUGAACAUCAAAGAUUUAUCGCUGAAAGAUGGGCUCGCGUCUGAUUAGAUAGUUGGUGGGGUAACGGCCUACCAAGUCUACGAUCAGUAGCCGGACUGAGAGGUUGAACGGCCACAUUGGGACUGGGAUACGGCCCAGACUCCUACGGGAGGCAGCAGUGGGGAAUAUUGCACAAUGGGGGAAACCCUGAUGCAGCAACGCCGCGUGAAGGAUGACGGUUUUCGGAUUGUAAACUUCUUUUCUUAGUGACGAAGACAGUGACGGUAGCUAAGGAAUAAGCAUCGGCUAACUACGUG
Molecule: ribosomal RNA, 483 nt
Filed under: uncultured bacterium
Lineage: Bacteria
Description: partial 16S ribosomal RNA
Rfam family: Bacterial small subunit ribosomal RNA
Source: RNAcentral